Molecule: ribosomal RNA, 424 nt
Filed under: uncultured prokaryote
Description: bacterial SSU rRNA
Rfam family: Bacterial small subunit ribosomal RNA
Source: RNAcentral
UGGGGAAUAUUGGACAAUGGGCGCAAGCCUGAUCCAGCCAUGCCGCGUGAGUGAAGAAGGCCUUAGGGUUGUAAAGCUCUUUCACCCACGACGAUGAUGACGGUAGUGGGAGAAGAAGCCCCGGCUAACUCCGUGCCAGCAGCCGCGGUAAUACGGAGGGGGCGAGCGUUGUCCGGAUUUACUGGGCGUAAAGGGCGCGUAGGCGGCGCGACAAGUUGGGGGUGAAAUGCCCGGGCUCAACCUGGGAACUGCCUUCGAAACUGUCGUGCUGGAGACCGGGAGAGGAUGGUGGAAUUCCCAGUGUAGAGGUGAAAUUCGUAGAUAUUGGGAAGAACACCGGUGGCGAAGGCGACCAUCUGGACCGGAUCUGACGCUGAGGCGCGAAAGCGUGGGGAGCAAACAGGAUUAGAUACCCCCGUAGUCC